GCUGAUGUAGCUCAGCUGGUAGAGCAGCGCAUUCGUAAUGCGCGGGCCGGGGGUUCAAGUCCCUCCAUCAGCACCA
RNAcentral lists this transfer RNA (76 nucleotides) under Paenibacillaceae bacterium ZCTH02-B3. Its description in RNAcentral is "tRNA-Thr". It matches the Rfam family "tRNA". From Rfam's summary of the family: Transfer RNA (tRNA) molecules are approximately 80 nucleotides in length. Their secondary structure includes four short double-helical elements and three loops (D, anti-codon, and T loops). RNAcentral also lists the same sequence under 2 other names. The record is from RNAcentral. Lineage: Bacteria; Bacillati; Bacillota; Bacilli; Caryophanales; Paenibacillaceae.